RNAcentral lists this transfer RNA (70 nucleotides) under Rattus norvegicus (Norway rat). It matches the Rfam family "tRNA". From Rfam's summary of the family: Transfer RNA (tRNA) molecules are approximately 80 nucleotides in length. Their secondary structure includes four short double-helical elements and three loops (D, anti-codon, and T loops). The record is from Rfam by way of RNAcentral. Lineage: Eukaryota; Metazoa; Chordata; Mammalia; Rodentia; Muridae.
GGGGAUUUAGCUCAGUGGUAGGAGCGCUCGCCUAGCAAGCGCAAGGCCCUGAGUUCGAUCCCCAGCUCCA